Molecule: ribosomal RNA, 578 nt
Filed under: uncultured bacterium
Lineage: Bacteria
Description: bacterial SSU rRNA
Rfam family: Bacterial small subunit ribosomal RNA
Source: RNAcentral
CAGACGGGUGAGUAACACGUGGGARCGURCCCUUUGGUUCGGAAURACGCUGGGAAACUAGCGCUAAUACCGGAUACGCCCUUUUGGGGAAAGGCUUGCUGCCGAAGAUCGGCCCGCGUCUGAUUAGCUAGUUGGUGGGGUAAUGGCCUACCAAGGCGACGAUCAGUAGCUGGUCUGAGAGGAUGAUCAGCCACACUGGGACUGAGACACGGCCCAGACUCCUACGGGAGGCAGCAGUGGGGAAUAUUGGACAAUGGGGGCAACCCUGAUCCAGCCAUGCCGCGUGAGUGAUGACGGCCUUAGGGUUGUAAAGCUCUUUUCUCCGGGACGAUAAUGACGGUACCGGAGGAAUAAGCCCCGGCUAACUUCGUGCCAGCAGCCGCGGUAAUACGAAGGGGGCUAGCGUUGCUCGGAAUCACUGGGCGUAAAGGGCGCGUAGGCGGCUGAUUUAGUCGAGGGUGAAAGCCCGUGGCUCAACCACGGAAUGGCCUUCGAUACUGGUUGGCUUGAGACCGGAAGAGGACAGCGGAACUGCGAGUGUAGAGGUGAAAUUCGUAGAUAUUCGCAAGAACACCAGU